UGCAGAAUCCCGUGAACCAUCGAGUUUUUGAACGCAAGUUGCGCCCGAGGCCUCUCGGUUGAGGGCACGUCUGCCUGGGUGUCACGCCAAAAGACACUCCCUUGCAAUCCUUGUGUGGGAUGUGGUGUUUGGCCUUCCAUUGUACCUAUAAUGUGUGGUAGGCUAAAGGAAGUGGCUGCUGGCUACGGUGCCAGUCACAGCACUUGGUGGAUGACACAUGUUGUUCUCGAAGUUGUGACUUGUGUACUGAAUUCAGUGACAUUGCCCCUUUGGACCCAUGGAUCGAGCAUUGAAUGCUUGCACCGCGACCCCAGGUCAGUCGGGAUUACCCGCUGAAUUUAAGCAUAUAAAUAAGCGGAGGAAGAGGAACUUACAAGGAUUCCCCUAGUAACGGCGAGCGAACCGGGAGUAGCCCAGCUUGAGAAUCGGGUGGGAUGAUCCCUGUCCGA
RNAcentral lists this ribosomal RNA (449 nucleotides) under Sporobolus maritimus. RNAcentral's name for it is "eukaryotic LSU rRNA". The stretch from base 306 to 449 matches the Rfam family "Eukaryotic large subunit ribosomal RNA", at positions 1 to 141 of the family's 3401-position model. Lineage: Eukaryota; Viridiplantae; Streptophyta; Magnoliopsida; Poales; Poaceae. The record is from RNAcentral.